UUGCUGGAAACCUCCCAAUUUUAACCGACUCCCAGGAUCAAUGAACAGGCAUUCCAAUUCCACUCCUAUCAAUUCCAGUAGCCGAGCCCCCAUAAAAUGGGGACGAGGAUCUUUGAUUCAUCUAAAUAGCGAGGCGUCAUCUAUAACCGGUACUUCAAGCACUGUCAUCAACGGUAAUCGGAAGAGGAAGCAACGCUGCCCCGUUGAAAAUGGUCAGGACAAAGUCAAGGAACGUGCACCCAUUGCAAAGAAUGAAACAAACACGACGUAGAAAGAAAUCAGUUGUCGUAUCCAAGAAAUUUACACCAAACUGAUGUCAGAUUCGAAUUUUUGUCGCUGGGCUGGGAUUAUUGCUAGAACCUGUCCAAUCUGUAGAUUUAUAUGGAUGUCAGAAACUGAACCGAAGAAGCUGAACAGUGAUAUCACAGCACUGUACUCGAAUUGAUGACCCUGUCAAAAACUCAACCAUAUAUAUAUGAUUGUAGAUGACACGAAAAUUAUCUAGUGUUUGAUGAAGCAUAAAUGAAAUACAACCAAAAAAACGAUGUGGACUUCAAAAUGAGGCAAAAUAAUAAAGUCCAUCAGGUCGACAAGAAGACUUCCUCAGGGGAAAUUGUCGAGUUGGUAAAUUGUGAAAUCGAUUUGACAUUACAAAUAGCCUAGCGUUUUACUGUGAAAGAAAUAGAAAAUUAUGAUUUUAUUAAAAUUAUGUUAAAAAACACAUAAAUUGAUACUACCCGAUUGAUACUACGAAUCAUAGUCUAUGAUCAAGA
This is a long non-coding RNA of Folsomia candida, 773 nucleotides long. RefSeq lists it as uncharacterized. The record is from RefSeq and is a predicted model, not a curated record. The transcript is spliced from 2 exons. NCBI's taxonomy places the organism in Eukaryota, Metazoa, Arthropoda, Collembola, Entomobryomorpha, Isotomidae.